Molecule: ribosomal RNA, 120 nt
Filed under: Talaromyces marneffei ATCC 18224
Lineage: Eukaryota; Fungi; Ascomycota; Eurotiomycetes; Eurotiales; Trichocomaceae
Source: RNAcentral
ACAUACGACCAUAGGGUGUGGAAAACAGGGCUUCCCGUCCGCUCAGCCGUACUUAAGCCACACGCCGGUUGGUUAGUAGUUGGGUGGGUGACCACCAGCGAAUCCUAACAUUUGUAUGUA